ACACUACAUAUCACAAUACACUACAUAUCACAGUACACUACAUAUCACAGUACACUACAUAUCACAGUACACUACAUAUCACAGUACACUACAUAUCAAAUGAAAAAGACUCUUAGAAUUCCCAAACGUUGAUGGAUAAAACCAUUGUUUGUUUAUUUGUUUGUUUGUUUGUUUGUUUGUUGUUGUUUUUUUAUUUUGAUACAACAAUAUGACGUAAAUGCAGUGGAGUUAUGUCGCACAAGAGUGGACCGAAUUAAAUGAAUUAUCACGCCUGUGACGUUUUUAGUUUAAACAUGUUUUAUUGUCAAAUAAAGAGACAAAGGAAUUGGACACAAAUUAUAACAUAAAAACAAAUACAACAUACAAUGAACCUAGACAAUAUCAACUGAUUGUAUACUAGGCAUAUCUAAAUCAGAAUCGUUUACUUGAUUGGUGAAGUGAUGCACGUGUCUAAAAACAUACAAUCCACUUCCAUGCAAUAAAACCUUGUUUACAUUAACAUGUACAUGUAUAUCAAAUUAGAUUAUCCUAUAAUUACAAUGUAACAUAAAAGAAAUGAUAAGAUGUCCUAACUGUUGUUAAAACAAGUCGUACUUUAAUUGGCGACAUCGAUGUCUGAAUUUGGUAAGUAAAAUAUUUGUCUUUCUAUCUUCAAAAUUAUAUUAGGCUAUGUAUUUAUUCUGAGAAACGUUGCACAUCGAACAGACGUUGUCCUCAAGUAGGCCUAACUGUGGGAUGAGCGAUCGCACAUCUGUGCCGUUUCGUAAGAGAUCGGAGAUUAAUUUUGUGACAUGACAAAAGUACGGAAUGAGUCGUAUUAAGGACGCAUAUGGAUUACAAUCCGUUUUUAAUUCUGUAUUAAAUUCUAGUCCAUAUGAAAUAAUGAAAAAACAAGCUUAGAUUAUAUUAUAUACCUUUUAAUAUGGGUUAGUAAGACCAAUGCAAAGCAUUCAUAAUCAGAGUUUUACUUACCACAGGUAAAAACAGGUAAACAUACAGGUACAUGUAAUAGAAUAUGAUUACAGCUUGGGGAAUUAUCUCGGUGUCAAAGAAUUCAAUGUUUAUUAUCGUUUAUUUAUCAACACAACAUGGCAUGAAUUACACAUGUACAUCAUUUUUAUUCGUGUCAUGUUAGUAUUUAAGCGUAUAUAUAUUCGGUACAGCCUGACACUUCAUGCCUCGAUGACGAGUGAUAAGCCAAUGCUAUCUAGUCGAUAAAAUGACAGCAUUUAAUUUUAAUUUUCUAAAAUAGACUCCAAGAUGGAUAAGCUGAUAUUUAUGUGUAAUUAAGUUUCCAUCAAACACACUAAUUACAUCUAAUUUCAAAUAGAUUGAAUGGGCGAGAGGCAUAUGGUGAAAGUUGUGUGCCAGGUAGAUACUUGUGCUGUUAUGUUUGCCUUUGUAUAUAAUGUAUCAUGUCUUGUGCUAUUGUGAUAAGUUGUAAAACUUAAGCAAAUAAAGAAUCUGAAUCAGACACAACACCUGUCUCCGGAAGAGUUGGCGAGACAAAGUCUGUAUAGUGGGAUUCUG
Pecten maximus is the source of this 1530-nucleotide long non-coding RNA. RefSeq lists it as uncharacterized. The transcript has 2 exons. Lineage: Eukaryota; Metazoa; Mollusca; Bivalvia; Pectinida; Pectinidae. The record is from RefSeq and is a predicted model, not a curated record.